Molecule: ribosomal RNA, 1401 nt
Filed under: uncultured bacterium
Lineage: Bacteria
Description: 16S ribosomal RNA
Rfam family: Bacterial small subunit ribosomal RNA
Source: RNAcentral
AGAGUUUGAUCCUGGCUCAGGAUGAACGCUAGCGACAGGCUUAACACAUGCAAGUCGAGGGGCAGCGGGGGCGUAGCAAUAUGCCUGCCGGCGACCGGCGCACGGGCGAGUAACACGUAUGUAACCUGCCCUAUGCAGGGGGAUAACCCGGAGAAAUCCGGCCUAAUACCGCGUAACACCUUUGGGGAGCAUUCCCUUGGGGUUAAAGGAGAGAUCCGGCAUAGGAUGGACAUGCGUCGCAUUAGGUAGACGGCGGGGUAACGGCCCACCGUGCCGACGAUGCGUAGGGGUUCUGAGAGGAAGGCCCCCCACACUGGUACUGAGACACGGACCAGACUCCUACGGGAGGCAGCAGUGAGGAAUAUUGGUCAAUGGCCGAGAGGCUGAACCAGCCAAGUCGCAUGAGGGAAGAAUGUCCUAAGGAUUGUAAACCUCUUUUGUCGGGGAGCAAAAAGGCUCUGCGGAGUCGUAUUGAGAGUACCCGAAGAAAAAGCAUCGGCUAACUCCGUGCCAGCAGCCGCGGUAAUACGGAGGAUGCGAGCGUUAUCCGGAUUUAUUGGGUUUAAAGGGUGCGCAGGCGGCGUGUCAAGCAAGCGGUAAAAUAGCGGGGCUCAACCCCGUCGAGCCGUUUGAACUGGCGCGCUUGAGUUCAGGCGAGGUAGGCGGAAUUCGUGGUGUAGCGGUGAAAUGCAUAGAUAUCACGAAGAACUCCGAUUGCGAAGGCAGCUUACCAGUCUGCGACUGACGCUCAGGCACGAAAGUGUGGGUAUCGAACAGGAUUAGAUACCCUGGUAGUCCACACAGUAAACGAUGAGCGCUAGGUGUCCGGGUCGAAUGAGGCUUGGGUGCCCGAGCGAAAGCGUUAAGCGCUCCACCUGGGGAGUACGCCGGCAACGGUGAAACUCAAAGGAAUUGACGGGGGCCCGCACAAGCGGAGGAACAUGUGGUUUAAUUCGAUGAUACGCGAGGAACCUUACCCGGGCUCAAACGACUCAGGAAUAUAUUGGAAACGAUGUAGCCAGCAAUGGUCUGAGUCGAGGUGCUGCAUGGUUGUCGUCAGCUCGUGCCGUGAGGUGUCGGCUUAAGUGCCAUAACGAGCGCAACCCCUACCGCCAGUUGCCAACGGGUAAAGCCGGGAACUCUGGCGGGACUGCCGGCGCAAGCUGCGAGGAAGGCGGGGAUGACGUCAAAUCAGCACGGCCCUUACGUCCGGGGCGACACACGUGUUACAAUGGCAGGUACAGCGGGAAGCCACCUGGUGACAGGGAGCGGAACCCGAAAGCCUGUCUCAGUUCGGAUUGGAGUCUGCAACUCGACUCCAUGAAGCUGGAUUCGCUAGUAAUCGCGCAUCAGCCAUGGCGCGGUGAAUACGUUCCCGGGCCUUGCACACACCGCCCGUCA